This 787-nucleotide ribosomal RNA is filed under the name Amphidinium thermaeum. RNAcentral's name for it is "partial large subunit ribosomal RNA". It matches the Rfam family "Eukaryotic large subunit ribosomal RNA", at positions 82 to 919 of the family's 3401-position model. Lineage: Eukaryota; Dinophyceae; Amphidiniales; Amphidiniaceae. The record is from RNAcentral.
AGUAAUGGCGAAUGAAAAGAGAUGUGCUUAGUGUCAAAAUCAGGUUUCCCUGACUUGUAGGCUGUAGGCGCUAUGCCAACUUGGGUGCAGGUGCAAGUCUCUUGGAAUAGAGCACCAGUGAGGGUGAGGGUCCCUUCUGUCAUCUGUCAUCCCUUGUAGACGGUUUGCGUUCUGAGAGUCGUGUUCUUCUGGAAUAGAGCGCCAAGUGGGUGGUACUCUUUGCCUAAGGAGCAUUACAUACUUGAGACCAAUAGUGAACAAGUACCAUGAGGGAAGGAUGAAAAGGACUUUGGAAAGAGGGUUAAGAGGACAUGAAGCUGCUGGAAGGGAAGUGGAUUGGACUUCUGUCUGUGGCAAGAUUGCAGGUUGCACUACUCUCUGAGGAACUGCGACUUGUGUUUCUUGCUACUUAGUGGGACUCUGUGUGGUGUCCACAAUCUAAGCUUUACUUGGCAAAAACCUGCUGGUUGCUCCAUAGUUUAGCUUUCUGUUGGCACUACAUAAUUCUUCCACUAAAGAGUUCAAUUUUACCCGUCUUGAAACACGGACCAAGGAGUCUAAUGCGUGUGCAAGUGUAAGGGUUUUAAACCUGACAGCAUAACAAACGUGACUGCUGGGAUUCUUGCGCCAGCAACCAACUGAUCACUUAGGAGAUGUUUGUGUAUGAGCAUGCUUGCUAGGACCCGAAAGGUGGUGAACUAUGCCUGAGAAGGGUGACGUCAGGGGAAACUCUGAUGGAAGCUCGUAGCGCUACUGACGUGCAAAUCGUUCGUCUGACUUGGGUAUA